AUGGACAGGCACACCGGGGGCUCGUCAGCAGCAGGCGACUCCACCAUGGACCUACGUCACCAAUCCGUGGACGGGCAUCGUUCACGCAUACUCGAUGCCGGUUCCCCGGCCUCCUGCCCCAGGCAUCCUUGGGCUUCGUCCGACGAGCCAUCAGGUGUACUUUGUCGCGCCCGGCGCCGACCCUACCCGGUGCUCCCUUCAUCGCCGAGCUAUGGUGUCACCCGCGUGCCUUCCUAUGGCGGGUACUACCCGCCCCGGGUGUGGGCGUCGUGGGAUCCCGCCCUGCUCGCCGCUCUACACUCGGCUCUGUCACCUAGCAACUAUGGUGGUGGCGGUGACUGGUACAUGGACUCGGGCGCCACUGCUCACAUGACAUCUCAUCCCGGUAACCUCACGUCAUCCACUCCCGUUCAUACUCCCACUCGCAUCACCGUUGGUAACAGUUCCUCUUUAUCCAUUACACAUGUCGGUCAUAUGCUGUUUCCUUCCACUUCUACUCCUAUAAACAUGUCUAACGUUCUCAUCUCUCCUGACUUAGUUACCAACCUUGUCUCUGUUCGUCGCAUUGCUCGUGAGAACCCUAUUACUGUUCAAUUUGACGAUGUUGGCUUUUCUGUGAAGAACGCCCGUACAUGGAUGGUACUCCACCGAUGUGAUAGCCCUAACAAGCUCUACCCGGUGCAUCCUUUCGCCGCCACCACCACCCAUCCAGCCGCCCUUGCCGCUAGCGUCGAUCUUUGGUACGCCCAUCUCGGUCAUCCCAACUCCACAAUUUUUGCAUCAGAUUCUAUAGAGUUUUCCUUCUCAUGUAAUAAGGUUGACAACCACACUUGUGAGGCCUGCCGUCUCGGUAAGCACGUUCGUCUUCUCUUUAGCGAGUCUACAAACAUUUCCACUUUUCCGCUUCAGUUAUUGCAUAGUGAUGUUUGGACGUCCCCGGCUACAAGCAACACGGGUUACAUAUACUAUUUUGGUGAUAUUGGAUGA
This 987-nucleotide ribosomal RNA is filed under the name Triticum aestivum (bread wheat). RNAcentral's name for it is "partial small subunit ribosomal RNA". The record is from RNAcentral. Lineage: Eukaryota; Viridiplantae; Streptophyta; Magnoliopsida; Poales; Poaceae.